GACUGCAUAGCACAGUGGCAGUGUGUUCGCCUCGUGACCGAGAGGUUGCGGGUCCGAAUCCAGCUGCCGUGU
Molecule: transfer RNA, 72 nt
Filed under: Branchiostoma floridae (Florida lancelet)
Lineage: Eukaryota; Metazoa; Chordata; Leptocardii; Amphioxiformes; Branchiostomatidae
Rfam family: tRNA
About the family: Transfer RNA (tRNA) molecules are approximately 80 nucleotides in length. Their secondary structure includes four short double-helical elements and three loops (D, anti-codon, and T loops).
Source: Rfam by way of RNAcentral